Molecule: unclassified non-coding RNA, 690 nt
Filed under: Hevea brasiliensis (rubber tree)
Lineage: Eukaryota; Viridiplantae; Streptophyta; Magnoliopsida; Malpighiales; Euphorbiaceae
Source: RNAcentral
AGCAAGAUUUUGCUAUUUGAUUUAUGCUUGAAUUGCUGGAUUUAUAUGCUAAGCACACAACAAGAAGGAUCUGGCUAUUUAUCUGCACUUUAAACUUUACAGGAUACAUUUUGUUAUCGAGUGGAAUUAAAAACUAUUCAGUGCAAUUAAAAACUAUUCAGUGCCUAGUGCGUGAUGUAUUAUUUUCUCCUUGAUCAGGUUUUUGUGAAUAAGAAUUGCUUCCUUCUAUUUGAAUUCCAUUGCACGAUUUGCAGAGAGACAGUGUCUUAUAUAUAGGACAGUAUCGGUUAUGUAUUUUGGUAUGAUUAAUUCUUGUAUCCAGUGGUAUUAGUGGAAGAUGCAGAGGAGAGACAGAGAGUUCAGAGAGGUAACUGAUUUUAAUGUUGCUCAUUCAUGAUCUGAUGCAGGGUUUUAUCAGCAUUGAGCCACAAUGUUAAUCUGAAUCUUGACUGGUCACAUGGUUAGACUAACAAGCUUAAAAGAACUAAUACUGACCAGAACUUAAUUGCCAACUAAUUGGACUCACUUAGUUGAUAACUGGAUUGGUAUCCUCACAACAUAUUUCAUUUUGCCACUCCUUGAAGAAAAUCUGGAUUAACAUUAGAAUUUAGGCACUUUAUUUUCUGUAGAAAUUCUUUUAUAGUUGAAGAUUCUUUUUCUGAAGGAUAUUGUUCUCUAUUUUCAGAAAGC